CGGCAGCACGGGAAGCUUGCUUCCUGGUGGCGAGCGGCGGACGGGUGAGUAAUGCAUAGAAAUCUGCCCGGUAGUGGGGGAUAACCUGGGGAAACCCAGGCUAAUACCGCAUACGUCCUACGGGAGAAAGCAGGGGAUCUUCGGACCUUGCGCUAUCGGAUGAGUCUAUGUCGGAUUAGCUUGUUGGUGAGGUAAUGGCUCACCAAGGCGACGAUCCGUAGCUGGUCUGAGAGGAUGAUCAGCCACAUCGGGACUGAGACACGGCCCGAACUCCUACGGGAGGCAGCAGUGGGGAAUAUUGGACAAUGGGCGAAAGCCUGAUCCAGCCAUGCCGCGUGUGUGAAGAAGGCCUUCGGGUUGUAAAGCACUUUCAGUGGGGAAGAAAGCCUUGGGGCUAAUACCCUCGAGGAAGGACAUCACCCACAGAAGAAGCACCGGCUAACUCCGUGCCAGCAGCCGCGGUAAUACGGAGGGUGCGAGCGUUAAUCGGAAUUACUGGGCGUAAAGCGCGCGUAGGCGGUCUGAUAAGCCGGUUGUGAAAGCCCCGGGCUCAACCUGGGAACGGCAUCCGGAACUGUCAGGCUAGAGUGCAGGAGAGGAAGGUAGAAUUCCCGGUGUAGCGGUGAAAUGCGUAGAGAUCGGGAGGAAUACCAGUGGCGAAGGCGGCCUUCUGGACUGACACUGACGCUGAGGUGCGAAAGCGUGGGUAGCAAACAGGAUUAGAUACCCUGGUAGUCCACGCCGUAAACGAUGUCGACUAGCCGUUGGGGUCCUUGAGACCUUUGUGGCGCAGUUAACGCGAUAAGUCGACCGCCUGGGGAGUACGGCCGCAAGGUUAAAACUCAAAUGAAUUGACGGGGGCCCGCACAAGCGGUGGAGCAUGUGGUUUAAUUCGAUGCAACGCGAAGAACCUUACCUACCCUUGACAUCGUGCGAACUU
The sequence is a ribosomal RNA, 940 nucleotides long. It matches the Rfam family "Bacterial small subunit ribosomal RNA", at positions 64 to 998 of the family's 1533-position model.